GCCAGCAGGAGCGGAGCGCGCGCCUGGGGGAAUCUUCGGUGCGCCAAGUCUGUUCGCCGCCCGGGUCUAUCACCCCCGCCCCUCGCCUCUGCCCGCGCGCGUGUGAGUUGUAGCGUCCCCUGGGUUCUGUUCUGGAGGAGGCCUGAGAGCGGGGUUGCCUGGGGGGUGGGGCCCUCACCCCUCUCGUCGUGGUGAAGAGGCGUAUACCCAGCGGGUGAGUACCGCCCGCGAGCUCCCGGUUGAGCUGGCGUCCCCGGGGAGGACGCUGCGGGGCGCCGCCGUGGGAAGAGCGUGGAGGACGCAGCGUGGAGGCGCGAGGCCGUAGGACGCCAGCCAGCCAGUUGCGCGGGUUGCGGCGCACUGGGACCUACUUUAUGCUUUCCGUCGUCCCUGCCUUGCUAGGAAAAGAGAAUAACGAGAUAAACUAAACGUGAUGCGGUUGGGAACUUGUUCAGGGAAACCGGCUGGGACGAACUUCGGAAACUUGCUAGUGUGGAGAGCCGCACAGUGGUGAACAUUCCUCCUUGUGAUAUUGGGUACCUGGCUCUCUCCUGAAGACGCUGCUUUCCCAGCAAUUCACCACAGCGAAAGUCUGCCACCGCCCCCGCGGCGCAGGUGGUAUCUGUAUUUGUUGUCUUAUGGCCAUUGCUAGGCCAUUCCAUUCCACCCUUGUAAACCUUAGCAGAAACUCUUCUCUAAUGAGCCCUUUUCCCUCUCCUCACUGUUAUUUACCAGCUGCCUGGUCACUCAUGUUCAUUAAGGAAUUUAGUACCCAACUCAGUUUUUUUUUUUUUUUUUUUUUGGGACGGAGCCUCUAUCAGCCCAGUUUGGAGUACAGUGGUGCAAUCUUAGCUUGCCGCAACCUCCGCCUCCCAGUUUAUCCUGUAAUGACAGUAGCAUUUACAGAAAGUUUCUGUUGGAAAUAGAAAAAAAAAAAACAUGGAAAAUAUAUGAGUAUAGAAGAAAAACAAUUGAAAUUCCACUUUUAAAAUAAUGAUAUAUUCUCUUUAAGACACCAUUUUCCUUCUCCCUGUCGCUUCAAAAAAAAUCAGAAUAACACUACAUGUAAAAGUUUUGCGAUGUGAUCUUUAUGUAACAUUUUGAGGAUUUUUCCUUAUUAAAUAGUCUUUGUGGCCUGGCAUGGUGGCUCAUGCCUAUGAUCCAAGGACUUUGGGAGGCCAAGGUGGGAGGAUCACUUGAGGCCAGAAGUUCAAGACCAACCCGGGCAACAACAUAGCAAGACCCUGUCUCCCACACACACACAAAAAAUUAAUACCUGAGAAGGGUAGUGCCUACCUGUAAUCCUAGCUACUUGGGAGCCUGAGGAAGGAGGAUCCCUUGAGCCCAAGAGUUCAAGGAUACAGUGAGCUAUGAUUGCACCAUUGCAUCCCAUCCUAGAUGACAAAGUGAGACCUCAUUUAAAAAUAUAAUCAAUUAGCCAGGCGUGGUGGUGGGCACCAGCUACUCAGGAGGCUGAGGCAGGAGAAUGGCAUCAACCCAGGAGGCGGAGCUUGCAGCGAGCCGAGAUCAUGCCACUGCACUCCAGCCUGGGCGACAGAGCGAGACUCUGUUUCAAAAAUAAUAAUAACCAUCUUUGAGAAAUGUGAUUUUUAACAGUAACAUGAUAUUCCAAUGUGUUUCUAUUAUACAUAAUGGUGCAGUGAAUGUUACGCCCAAACUCUUUUUCCCCAGUAUUUCUGAUAUUUGCCUUAGGAUAAUUUCCAAGACAUGAAAUCACUGAGGCAAAGGAUGUGAAUAUGUUUAGGCUCUUUGUACAGCUCUAGUUAGUUAAAAGCUUUGACAAUGUUCUUAUGCUAUGAAAUUGUCACCAAUUCUUCUUAUUAUGUUUUUUCUCUUCCUUCUUUGUUCUAUGUUUAAUGUUAACAUUUUAUCUGUAUUUUGUAACCUUAUUUUUCAUUUUUCAUCAUAGACGGUAAAUCAGAGACUUACUCCAACCCCGAAGUUUAUACUGAAAGACUUGAUUAGCGUAAUAAAAGAACUAAAUGAGGA
RNAcentral lists this long non-coding RNA (2010 nucleotides) under Macaca mulatta (Rhesus monkey). RNAcentral describes it as "lncRNA (ENSMMUG00000050840.1)". The record is from RNAcentral. Lineage: Eukaryota; Metazoa; Chordata; Mammalia; Primates; Cercopithecidae.